GCUGUUAUUAGCCGUUGAGAUCUAUCUAGGUUUUUAAUCCUAGCCGUUGAGAUCUAUAUAGGAUGUCGAGAACAAAAGAAAAUGAAGAAGCAUUCUUCAGUUCUUUCUUCUUCGUCUCUUCUUCUCACUCAGCGGCAGCAUCAGUUUCUCGAUUCUCUUAGGGUUUGAAUCGAGAUUGAAUAUCAGUAAUAUCAGUGGAUCACCAUCUCUAUCAGGAUUCAGAUAUUGAGAAGAUUAGUCCAAAGGCCAAAGCAGAGAAGAAGGAAGAAUUAGAUUUUUGGGGUUCUCAAGUACUGCACAAUGGCUUGUGGCUGAACCGCUGAACGCUUAAGGAUCGUGAUUUGUUUCAGGGCAGCAGGUGUUACAAAAUACCCAUUAAAGACUUAAAGUACUUCAGAAUGACCACAUCAACUGCAACUCCAACUACAAAUGCAACUGCAACUCCAACUACAAGUACAACUCAACAAACAGAAGUUGGAUCAUCCUCUCAAGCUGCAUCUCACACAAAUGAAUCUGAAACUGCAACUCCAACAAGUAAAGGCAGAGCUGAAGCAGUUGAAGUUGGUGAUAGCAAA
This is a long non-coding RNA of Papaver somniferum (opium poppy), 575 nucleotides long. RefSeq lists it as uncharacterized. The record is from RefSeq and is a predicted model, not a curated record. The transcript has 4 exons. Lineage: Eukaryota; Viridiplantae; Streptophyta; Magnoliopsida; Ranunculales; Papaveraceae.